GUAUCAAUCAAAUCUAAUCAUAAAUAAAGAAGUUAUGGCAAUUUAAGCAAAAUUUAAUAAUUUAACCUUGAGAGUCAAGGUCAUUCAAAGGUCAAAGUAAAAUUCAAGUUGCCAGGUACAGUAACCUCAUGAUAGCAUGUAAGUAUUUGAAGUUUGAAAGCAAUAGCCUUGAUACUUAAGAAGUAAAGUGGAUCGAAACACAAAAUUUAACCAUAUAUUAAAAGUUACUAAGUCAAAAAAGGGCCAUAAUUCCGUAACAAUGACAACCAGAGUUAUGCAACUUGUCCUUUUACUGUACCCUUAUGAUAGUUUGUGAGUGUUCCAAGUAUGAAAGCAAUAUCUAUGAUACUUUAGGGGUAAAGUGGACCAAAACAUAAAUCUUAACCAAAUUUUCAAUUUUCUAAGUAUAAAGGGCCCAUAAUUCCGUCCAAAUGCCAGUCAGAGUUACAUAACUUUGCCUGCACGGUCCCCUUAUGAUAGUUCAUAAAUCUUGCAAGUAUGAAAGCAAUAGCUUUGAUACUGUAGGAAUAAAGUGGACCUAAACACAAAACUUAAUCAAAUUUUCAAUUUUCUAAGUAUAAAAAGGGCACAUAAUUCUGUCAAAAUGCCAGUCAGAUUACAUUACUUUGCCUGCACAGUCCCCUUAUGAUAGUUAGUAAGUGUUGCAAGUAUGAAAGCAAUAGCUUUGAUGCUUAAGGAAUAAAAUGGACCUAAACACAAAACUUAACCAAAAUUGUCAAUUUUCUAAGUAUAAAAAGGGCACAUAAUUCUGUCAAAAUGCAUGCCAGAGUUAUCUAACUUUGCCUGCCCAGUCCCCUCAUGAUAGUAAGUAAGUGUACCAAGUUUGAAUGCAAUAGCAUUGAUACUUACUGAGAAAAGUGGAACUAAACGCAAAACUUAACCAAAAUUUUCAAUUUUUUAAGUAUAAAAAGGGCACAUAAUUCUGUCAAAAUGCACACCAGAGUUAUCUAACUUUGCCUGCCCAGUCCCCUCAUGAUAGUAAGUAAGUGUACCAAGUUUGAAUGCAAUAGCAUUGAUACUUUCUGAGAAAAGUGGACCUAAACGCAAAACUUAACCGGACGCCGACGCCAACGCCAACGCCAACGCCGACGCCGACGCCGACGCCAAGGUGAUGACAAUAGCUCAUAA
Molecule: long non-coding RNA, 1149 nt
Organism: Dreissena polymorpha
Lineage: Eukaryota; Metazoa; Mollusca; Bivalvia; Myida; Dreissenidae
Exons: 2
Source: RefSeq, a predicted model, not a curated record